RNAcentral lists this ribosomal RNA (459 nucleotides) under uncultured bacterium. Its description in RNAcentral is "partial 16S ribosomal RNA". It matches the Rfam family "Bacterial small subunit ribosomal RNA", at positions 338 to 795 of the family's 1533-position model. The record is from RNAcentral.
CCUACGGGUGGCAGCAGUGAGGAAUAUUGGUCAAUGGGCGAGAGCCUGAACCAGCCAAGUCGCGUGCGGGAGUACUGCCCUAUGGGUUGUAAACCUCUUUUGUCGGGGAGCAAAAGCCGGACGUGUCCGGCUGUGAGAGUACCCGAAGAAAAAGCAUCGGCUACCUCCGUGCCAGCAGCCGCGGUAAUACGGAGGAUGCGAGCGUUAUCCGGAUUUAUUGGGUUUAAGGGGAGCGUAGGCGGGUUGUUAAGUCAGUUGUGAAAGUGUGCGGCUCAACCGUAAAAUUGCAGUUGAUACUGGCAGCCUUGAGUACAGUAGAGGAAGGCGGAAUUCGUGGUGUAGCGGUGAAAUGCUUAGAUAUCACGAAGAACUCCGAUUGCGAAGGCAGGCGGCUGGACUGUAACUGACGCUGAUGCUCGAAAGUGUGGGUAUCAAACAGGAUUAGAUACCCUAGUAGUC